Molecule: long non-coding RNA, 149 nt
Organism: Bubalus bubalis (water buffalo)
Lineage: Eukaryota; Metazoa; Chordata; Mammalia; Artiodactyla; Bovidae
Exons: 3
Source: RefSeq, a predicted model, not a curated record
UGGCCCUUACAUGAUGCCGGGCUUGGAGCACUGGCUGCUGGUCUCAUAAUAGUCGUCCACGAAUUUGCGCGGGAUCUGCCGGGAGACGAAGGAGAAGCAGCAGUCGGUCGGGGUGUUGGUACCAACUGCUGUAGCUGGAGGCAGGCAGG